UGUCCCAUGGCUUAGUUGGUUACGGCGUCCGACUGUUAUCUACUCAUCGUAAUGGCAUCGGAAGAUCGAGAGUUCAAGUCUCUCUGGGACAG
This 92-nucleotide transfer RNA is filed under the name Galerina marginata CBS 339.88. It matches the Rfam family "tRNA". From Rfam's summary of the family: Transfer RNA (tRNA) molecules are approximately 80 nucleotides in length. Their secondary structure includes four short double-helical elements and three loops (D, anti-codon, and T loops). Lineage: Eukaryota; Fungi; Basidiomycota; Agaricomycetes; Agaricales; Galerinaceae. The record is from Rfam by way of RNAcentral.